AUACUUAUGUGAUGGGAGAUACCGUGGUUGAGAAGGUGGUUGUCCCCGGGGAGGCUCAUCUGUUGCACUUGGAGUUUGUUGACUCCUGAGAUUUCCCCAAAUGCAGGAAACACAACUGCAUACUUUGUGGUGGUAGGGGUUGCAUUUGUGUUCUUCUCUG
Rattus norvegicus (Norway rat) is the source of this 160-nucleotide small nuclear RNA. Ensembl annotates it as U1 spliceosomal RNA. Lineage: Eukaryota; Metazoa; Chordata; Mammalia; Rodentia; Muridae. The record is from Ensembl.